Molecule: ribosomal RNA, 253 nt
Filed under: uncultured bacterium
Lineage: Bacteria
Description: partial 16S ribosomal RNA
Rfam family: Bacterial small subunit ribosomal RNA
Source: RNAcentral
UACGAAGGUGGCAAGCGUUACUCGGAAUUACUAGGCGUAAAGGGCAGGUAGGUGGUUUGGUAAGUCUAUUGUGAAAGCUCCCGGCUUAACUGGGAGAGGUCAAUGGAUACUGCCGGACUUGAGUAUAGGAGAGGUUACUGGAAUUCCCGGUUUAGCGGUGAAAUGCGCAGAGAUCGGGAGGAACACCAAUGGCGAAAGCGGCUCACUGGACCACAACUGACGCUGAGGCGCGAAAGCUAGGGGAGCAAACAGG